ACCUUUUACACUUCGACAUUUCUUAGCCUUCUUAGCUCUUGAACUGGUUUCUAUAGUUUUUUCUUGACUCGUUUCAGUUACUUCUUCUUUUUCCUCGUUGCUUUCUUAUCGCUCUAUGAUAAUACAAAGGGUCUAUCCACAAUUAACCCCAAAAUAUUCAUUUUACUAUUGUCACGUUUCCAAUUUUAUUAUUCUUCUCUUUCCUUUUAUAAAUGAAUAAAGUGGAGAGCUCCCAGCCUUCAUGAGUGGCUAGGGAGUUCCUUUCAUUGUUUGGUUGGAUUCGAAUUUGUGAGGCAGGUAGUCUGGAAGCUGAUGUGCAAAGCCAUUUCCGAGUCAUUGAUUCAUAUAACAAAGGACCAGCUGAGCUAUAUCCGCAAGCCCUGAGCAAUAGCUGACAUGCAUUCUUUCAAGUUAUUUGUAUUGUAUUUAACAUUUAUAUGGUUAAUUUUUUCAAGAUCAAUUUAGAUGAACUCGCUAUUCUGUCAAAUGUACCCUAGCUCAUCCACAAGUUCCACAAAAUGCACACACAGUCUAUAUUCAGACUAAGCCGCAAAAUGCUUACAGGGUUUUUGUUUCUUGUAUUUUACAUAGGAGGCAGGUAGUCUGGAAGUCUUUGGAGCUGUCCAAACCAUGAAAUACUAACAUCUUCUCUUUUAUUGUUCCCUAGAGAUGUAGUAUUAAAGUUUCAAUAUUGAGGUCUCUUUGGUUACCAGGUGUGCUUGACAGAGCCAGGUCAGCAAUGGAGUGCUAGAUAAGACAACUAAAUCAUAAGAUCAAAUACUAUUGGUUGCUUAAUUUUGAAUUCAGUUUGUUAUUUCUUGCAAGUUUCCAAAUUAGACGGAGGCUAUGUUAACGCGUUUGAAUAAUAUGAGAUUGGUCAAAUCUGUUUGAAGUAUUAUUAAUUAGUUUUGAUGGAUUCAGGGUCUUGUUAAGCUGCUACGAGUAAGCUGGAAUUUUUGAUUAAAUUGUGGCACAAAAUAUUUGAUUGCAUAACAUGUAUGUAGAUAUGAUGUUUAACCAUAAUGACAUUUUAUUUUUGUUGAUAUUUUUUUGUCAAAUCUUUUGCAGAAAAUGGUUAUUUGUAGUUCAAAAAAUGUUAAUGAAAGUCCCUUACUUCCAUGCAGGAAUUGUCAUUUGAAUAAAAAGAAAAAGGGCUUGUUUGAUGGAGACCCUUAGCAAUCUGUAGCCACCUAUUUUACUCAAAUGGAAGGUUUUGAUGCAGGUGGAUUAUUUCCUUUAUGUUAAGCUAUUUAUUUUGAAUGAUUGCAAUAUCUUUUUUUCCCCAAUUUUAUUAUUUCAUGCUAUUUCAUGCUAUCGCAUUAGCUUUGUACUUGUAAACUCAUACAUUUAUUACCAAGGAUCUUUCUCCCCAGCAGAUAAACAUGCACAGAUGCCCAACAUCGAACUCAUCCGAACACCUGAUAAUCUAGAUCACCAAUGGCCCAACUUAUAUGUGCAUGCCCAGUGCUUUUUGUAUACAUGCAGUACAUUUAUUAUGUGAAAUAUACAAAUGGUUACAUGUUUGGGAGCAUCUAACGAUACACAAGAUAUCACAAGCUGUACAUGUUUGGGAGCAUCUAACUAUACAAAUGGUUACAUGAGGGGGAUUCUCUAUAUCCGUUCCUUGCCGCUUACUCGCAGCCGCAAUGGGCGACGGCAAUCACUGGAGUUUUUGUAGUAGUCUUGAUGUCGCUAUCCACGCACCUCUUGUUUCAACACCUCUCCGCUUACAAGAAUCCUAAGGAGCAGAAGUUUCUGGUUGGUGUUAUCUUGAUGGUCCCUUGCUAUGCCAUUGAAUCGGUACAGAAAUGAUGA
Asparagus officinalis (garden asparagus) is the source of this 1815-nucleotide long non-coding RNA. RefSeq lists it as uncharacterized. The transcript is spliced from 3 exons. Lineage: Eukaryota; Viridiplantae; Streptophyta; Magnoliopsida; Asparagales; Asparagaceae. The record is from RefSeq and is a predicted model, not a curated record.